CCCAAUCUAAAAAUUCUCUCUCUCUCUCUCUCUCUCUCUCUCUCCCUCUGUGUGUGUGUGUGUGUGUGUGUGUGUGUGUGUGUGUGAGAGAGAGAGAGAGAGAGAGAGAGAGAGAGAGAGAGAGAGAGAGACUGUGUGU
Molecule: microRNA precursor, 139 nt
Filed under: Marmota monax (woodchuck)
Lineage: Eukaryota; Metazoa; Chordata; Mammalia; Rodentia; Sciuridae
Source: RNAcentral